UACAGAGGCCUCAAGCAUUGUUCGGAUUCAUUGGGCGUAAAGGGAGCGUAGGCGGUCGGGUAAGUCGGACGUGAAAUCCUGGGGCUCAACCUCAGAACUGCAUUCGAUACUGCUCGGCUAGAGGAUUGGAGAGGAGAGUGGAAUUCACGGUGUAGCAGUGAAAUGCGUAGAGAUCGUGAGGAAGACCAACGGCGAAGGCAGCUCUCUGGACAAUUCCUGACGCUGAUGCUCGAAGGCUAGGGGAGCAAACGGG
This 253-nucleotide ribosomal RNA is filed under the name uncultured bacterium. RNAcentral's name for it is "partial 16S ribosomal RNA". It matches the Rfam family "Bacterial small subunit ribosomal RNA", at positions 524 to 776 of the family's 1533-position model. The record is from RNAcentral.